Molecule: ribosomal RNA, 464 nt
Filed under: Vreelandella stevensii
Lineage: Bacteria; Pseudomonadati; Pseudomonadota; Gammaproteobacteria; Oceanospirillales; Halomonadaceae
Description: partial 16S ribosomal RNA
Rfam family: Bacterial small subunit ribosomal RNA
Source: RNAcentral
CCUACGGAGGCUGCAGUGGGGAAUAUUGGACAAUGGGGGGAACCCUGAUCCAGCCAUGCCGCGUGUGUGAAGAAGGCCCUCGGGUUGUAAAGCACUUUCAGUGAGGAAGAACGCCUGGUGGUUAAUACCCAUCAGGAAAGACAUCACUCACAGAAGAAGCACCGGCCAACUCCGUGCCAGCAGCCGCGGUAAUACGGAGGGUGUGAGCGUUAAUCGGAAUUACUGGGCGUAAAGCGCGCGUAGGUGGCUUGAUAAGCCGGUUGUGAAAGCCCCGGGCUCAACCUGGGAACGGCAUCCGGAACUGUCAAGCUAGAGUGCAGGAGAGGAAGGUAGAAUUCCCGGUGUAGCGGUGAAAUGCGUAGAGAUCGGGAGGAAUACCAGUGGCGAAGGCGGCCUUCUGGACUGACACUGACACUGAGGUGCGAAAGCGUGGGUAGCAAACAGGAUUAGAUACCCCGGUAGUC